This 786-nucleotide non-coding RNA is filed under the name Corydalus cornutus (eastern dobsonfly). The record is from RNAcentral. Lineage: Eukaryota; Metazoa; Arthropoda; Insecta; Megaloptera; Corydalidae.
AAAGUUUUCUUUUGGCUGAAUAAUUUAUUAUUUUUAUAUUUUAUAUGUGAGUUGUUGCGGGAAGUAUUUUUAUUUUUAAUAAAUAAGAAUUGAUUUUUAAUCGCAGUAUUUAAAAUUAAUAAUUAAAGAAAUUUAGAAUUAGUAAUAGAUAAUAGUAUGGGUUAAUUUUGUGCCAGCAUCCGCGGUUAUACAAAAUAUACAAAUGAAUUUUAUUAUUAUGUAGUUAAUUGAUUUAUUAUAAAUAAGAUUAUAAAUUUUAAGGUGAAAUUUAAAUUUAUUUAAUAUUUAUAAGAAGAUUAUUAUGAAGCUAUUAAAAUUUAUUAAUAAACUAGGAUUAGAUACCCUAUUAUUUAAAAUGUAAAGUUGUAAUUAUUUGGUAGUAGUAGUUAAAGUCUUGAAACUAAAAAAAUUUGGCGGUAUUUUAAUCUAAUUAGAGGAAUCUGUUCCAUAAUCGAUAGUCCACGAGAGAUUUUACAUAAUUUUAUUUAAUUUGUAUAUCGUCGUUAUAAGGAAAUUUUAUAAGAAUUAUAAUUUUCUAGAAUUUAUAUUAUAAUAUAUUUCAGAUCAAGGUGCAAUAUAUAAUUAUGAGGAGAUGGAUUACAAUAAAUGAAUUUAUAUGGAUAAUAAGUUGAAAUAUUUAUUUGAAGGUGGAUUUAAUAGUAAUUUAAAUUAGUUGAUUUAAAUGAUUAUAGUUCUAAAAUAUGUACAUAUCGCCCGUCGCUCUCUUUAUUAAAAAGAGAUAAGUCGUAACAAAGUAGGUGUACUGGAAAGUGUACCUAGAAUGAU